Molecule: ribosomal RNA, 410 nt
Filed under: uncultured bacterium
Lineage: Bacteria
Description: bacterial SSU rRNA
Rfam family: Bacterial small subunit ribosomal RNA
Source: RNAcentral
GUAGCUGGUCUGAGAGGACGACCAGCCACACUGGGACUGAGACACGGCCCAGACUCCUACGGGAGGCAGCAGUGGGGAAUUUUUCGCAAUGGGGGCAACCCUGACGAAGCAAUGCGCGUGGAUGAAGAAGGCCUUCGGGUUGUAAAGUCCUUUCGUGGGGGACGAAAAGGUGGUUCCUAAUACGAGCUGCUGUUGACGUGAACCCAAGAAGAAGCACCGGCUAACUCCGUGCCAGCAGCCGCGGUAAUACGGGGGGUGCAAGCGUUAAUCGGAAUCACUGGGCGUAAAGGGUGCGUAGGCGGUACGUUAGGUCUGUCGUGAAAUCCCCGGGCUCAACCUGGGAAUGGCGGUAGAAACCGGCGAACUAGAGUAUGGGAGAGGGUGGUGGAAUUCCAGGUGUAGCGGUGAAA